This 152-nucleotide ribosomal RNA is filed under the name Capra hircus (goat). RNAcentral describes it as "5.8S ribosomal RNA (ENSCHIG00000002813.1)". It matches the Rfam family "5.8S ribosomal RNA". From Rfam's summary of the family: 5.8S ribosomal RNA (5.8S rRNA) is a component of the large subunit of the eukaryotic ribosome. It is transcribed by RNA polymerase I as part of the 45S precursor that also contains 18S and 28S rRNA. Lineage: Eukaryota; Metazoa; Chordata; Mammalia; Artiodactyla; Bovidae. The record is from Rfam by way of RNAcentral.
GACUCUUAGCAGUGGAUCACUCUGCUCCAGCAUCUAUGAAGAAUGCCAUGAGAACUAAUGUGAAUUGCAGGAGGCAGUGACCAUUCACACUUCCUUUGCCCUGAGACUGUGGCGCUCAGUUUCCUCCAGUGGCUAGGCCUACCUGAGUGUGG